GAUGAACGCUAGCGGCAGGCCUAACACAUGCAAGUCGAGGGAGGAGCUUUCGGGCUUCGACCGGCGUACGGGUGCGUAACGCGUAUACAAUCUGCCUUUCACAUAGGGAUAGCCCGAAGAAAUUUGGAUUAAUACCUAAUGGUAUAUAGAGGUGGCAUCACCUUUAUAUUAAAGCUGAGGCGGUGAAAGAUGAGUAUGCGUUCUAUUAGCUAGUUGGAGAGGUAACGGCUCCCCAAGGCGACGAUAGAUAGGGGUUCUGAGGGGGAUAUCCCCCACACUGGUACUGAGAUACGGACCAGACUCCUACGGGAGGCAGCAGUGAGGAAUAUUGGACAAUGGUCGGAAGACUGAUCCAGCCAUGCCGCGUGCAGGAAGACGGCCUUAUGGGUUGUAAACUGCUUUUGCAGGGGAAGAAUAAGGACUACGCGUAGUUUGAUGACGGUACUCUGCGAAUAAGCAUCGGCUAACUCCGUG
Molecule: ribosomal RNA, 474 nt
Filed under: uncultured bacterium
Lineage: Bacteria
Description: partial 16S ribosomal RNA
Rfam family: Bacterial small subunit ribosomal RNA
Source: RNAcentral